This 274-nucleotide ribosomal RNA is filed under the name uncultured bacterium. RNAcentral describes it as "partial 16S ribosomal RNA". It matches the Rfam family "Bacterial small subunit ribosomal RNA", at positions 523 to 796 of the family's 1533-position model. The record is from RNAcentral.
AUACGAAGGGGGCUAGCGUUGUUCGGAAUUACUGGGCGUAAAGCGCGCGUAGGCGGACUGAUCAGUUGGGGGUGAAAUCCCAGGGCCUAACCCUGGAACUGCCUCCAAUACUGUCAGUCUUGAGUUCGGGAGAGGUGAGUGGAAUUCCUAGUGUAGAGGUGAAAUUCGUAGAUAUUAGGAAGAACACCAGUGGCGAAGGCGACUUCCUGGACCAAUACUGACGCUGAGGUGCGAAAGCGAGGGGAGCAAACAGGAUUAGAAACCCUAGUAGUCC